UCCACCGCGAGGUGGAAUCUGAAGGAAGCAGGCGGCAAACGUUUGGGCCUACGAAUAGGAACUGCAUAGGAGGCGUGACCGUGGGGGUGAUGCUGCAAAAAGAGCAAAAGCCCGAUACUGUGCGGAAAACGGAUACGUAGAUGCGGAGGCCACAUGAACGGAAAGCGGACAUGC
Sphingobacteriales bacterium 50-39 is the source of this 174-nucleotide non-coding RNA. NCBI's taxonomy places the organism in Bacteria, Pseudomonadati, Bacteroidota, Sphingobacteriia, Sphingobacteriales. The record is from Rfam.